UGCGCAGGCGGCCUGUUAAGUCAGGGGUGAAAUAUGACGGCUCAACCGUCAAACUGCCCCUGAAACUGCCAGGCUUGAGUUCGAGAGAGGUAGGUGGAAUUCCAGGUGUAGCGGUGAAAUGCGUAAAUAUCUGGAGGAACACCAGUGGCGAAGGCGGCCUACUGGCUCGAUACUGACGCUCAGGCACGAAAGCUAGGGGAGCGAACAGGAUUAGAUACCCUGGUAGUCC
RNAcentral lists this ribosomal RNA (229 nucleotides) under uncultured bacterium. RNAcentral describes it as "partial 16S ribosomal RNA". It matches the Rfam family "Bacterial small subunit ribosomal RNA", at positions 568 to 796 of the family's 1533-position model. The record is from RNAcentral.